UACGUAGGGUGCAAGCGUUGUCCGGAAUUAUUGGGCGUAAAGAGCUCGUAGGCGGUCUGUCGCGUCGGAUGUGAAAACCCAGGGCUCAACCCUGGGCCUGCAUUCGAUACGGGCAGACUAGAGUUCGGUAGGGGAGACUGGAAUUCCUGGUGUAGCGGUGAAAUGCGCAGAUAUCAGGAGGAACACCGGUGGCGAAGGCGGAUCUCUGGGCCAUUACUGACGCUGAGGAGUGAAAGCGUGGGGAGCGAACAGG
RNAcentral lists this ribosomal RNA (253 nucleotides) under uncultured bacterium. Its description in RNAcentral is "partial 16S ribosomal RNA". It matches the Rfam family "Bacterial small subunit ribosomal RNA", at positions 524 to 776 of the family's 1533-position model. The record is from RNAcentral.